Molecule: long non-coding RNA, 269 nt
Filed under: Hordeum vulgare
Lineage: Eukaryota; Viridiplantae; Streptophyta; Magnoliopsida; Poales; Poaceae
Description: long non-coding RNA (HVUL_LNC019001)
Source: RNAcentral
AUUUAUGGAACAUAACACCGGUAGCCGAAAACUAAGGGGGCAAAGGUGGAACAAAACACCAGGCUAGAAAGGCCGAGCCUUCCACCUUGUACCAAGUAUAUAGGUGCAUUAAAUUAAAUGGCAUUUAAUAGGGUGAUAUGACAAGGAACCCAUGUUUUCACAUGGAAGCAACUGCACCUGCAACUAACAACGCUAACAACAGGAUUAAGCAAGCAGUAACAUAGCCAAUCAGUGGUUUGCUAGGUCGAACAGGUUGAAGGUAAUCAUGG